Bufo bufo (common toad) is the source of this 451-nucleotide long non-coding RNA. RefSeq lists it as uncharacterized. NCBI's taxonomy places the organism in Eukaryota, Metazoa, Chordata, Amphibia, Anura, Bufonidae. The record is from RefSeq and is a predicted model, not a curated record. The transcript is spliced from 3 exons.
AACCUAUAGAAAAAAGCUAAGUGAGACACCACUUUUAGAAAUUUUUCUUUUAGCUAAAAGCCGAAGUGGAUCCUAAAUUAAUUUCAGAAACAUUGCAGAUGAAGAGAAUGACAAGUAAGCCUUGAAAUGCUCGGUACACAAGGAAAAUCUGCUUUAUUCAGGUUUACCUUGAGGCGCAGACUAUCUUUUUUUUGCAGCCAUAUAUAUGAAGUGCUAGUUUAUGAGGCUUUUAUAAGAUUCCUCCUAUUAUACAUCAACACUGAAAUAUAAAAACACAACUGUCAAAUACAAUGUUUUAAUAUUCAUGGGGGAGGAAAGACUCCUGUGUUGUAAUGUUCCAGCUACUACCUUACUAACUGUAGAUAUGUACUGUUGCACAAGUGCUAGUGUAGGGGUACGGCCACGUGGUCAGGUUUCCUGAUGCGGUUUUGGAAGCCAAAACUAGAAGCGA